CAUUACCGAGUUGAUUCGGGCUCCGGCCCGAUCCUCCCACCCUUUGUGUACCUACCUCUGUUGCUUUGGCGGGCCGCGGUCCUCCGCGGCCGGCCCCCCUCCCCGGGGGGUGGCCAGCGCCCGCCAGAGGACCAUCAAACUCCAGUCAGUAAACGAUGCAGUCUGAAAAACAUUUAAUAAACUAAAACUUUCAACAACGGAUCUCUUGGUUCUGGCAUCGAUGAAGAACGCAGCGAAAUGCGAUAAGUAAUGUGAAUUGCAGAAUUCAGUGAAUCAUCGAAUCUUUGAACGCACAUUGCGCCCUUUGGUAUUCCGAAGGGCAUGCCUGUUCGAGCGUCAUUACAACCCUCAAGCUCUGCUUGGUAUUGGGCACCGUCCUUUGCGGGCGCGCCUCAAAGACCUCGGCGGUGGCGUCUUGCCUCAAGCGUAGUAGAACAUACAUCUCGCUUCGGAGCGCAGGGCGUCGCCCGCCGGACGAACCUUCUGAACUUUUCUCAAGGUUGACCUCGGAUCAGGUAGGGAUACCCGCUGAACUUAAGCAUAUC
RNAcentral lists this ribosomal RNA (545 nucleotides) under Botryosphaeria dothidea. Its description in RNAcentral is "eukaryotic LSU rRNA". The stretch from base 186 to 339 matches the Rfam family "5.8S ribosomal RNA". Lineage: Eukaryota; Fungi; Ascomycota; Dothideomycetes; Botryosphaeriales; Botryosphaeriaceae. The record is from RNAcentral.